Long non-coding RNA from Herpailurus yagouaroundi (jaguarundi), 744 nucleotides. RefSeq lists it as uncharacterized. The record is from RefSeq and is a predicted model, not a curated record. NCBI's taxonomy places the organism in Eukaryota, Metazoa, Chordata, Mammalia, Carnivora, Felidae. The transcript has 3 exons.
CAUCACCCAGCGGCGGAAAGAACUGGAUUCUGCCAGAUGCCAGGGAGAGUUAUGGCCCCUAUCUCUCCCUCAGGACGGGAGCCCCUCGGGAAAGGGCCUGGCGAGUGGCGCCCUUCUGCUGGUGAUGUUUCCGGAGCGGCACAGAGACCAGCAGGCAUAUGCUGGGCACGGACCUCCUUUCCCCCUCACAGCGGCUGCCAGAGACACGGAUCACUCUUGCCGUUACCCAGAGGAGCAAAGCUGAGGCUCAGAGACGGCACCGUCAUGCGCCAUUGCAGCCUGCUUCUAUUUGUCCGUGAGCAACUGAGGACAGUACCUGUCUCUUGUCUCUGAUUGUCCAGCUCCUUACAAGCCCAGCACGCACUAUGUGCUAGGUAUAUGACCUGAAAGACAUCCUUCAAAGGGAAUUGAUUCCACAAAAGAUGGAGGAGGGGAGGGAAGGGAAGGGAAGUCCGUUUAAUGAAGGGAAGGAAAAUGACAGGCAGAAGCUGUGUUUCCAUCCCCAGGCUUUUUAAUGCUAGAUUUUUGGGGCAUCGGAGGCAAUAGGAAGGAUCUUCCCAGUCACCGCCCAUUGGCUAAGAGUGGUUAGGUCCUCAGAGGCACCUUAGGCCGGUCAUACCUCCCUGCUUUAGGUUCCUCAACUGAAUAACGAAGAAGACAGUCCAUUUUUGUAAAGCCUCUGCUCGCGUGCCCUCUGCCUCACCAGUACGGUGGGGUUAUUUCAGAACAUGUGUCCUGCUAUGA